GACGGGGGGGGCAAGUGUUCUUCGGAAUGACUGGGCGUAAAGGGCCCGUAGGCGGUGAAUCGGGUUGAAAGUGAAAGUCGCCAAAAAGUGGCGGAAUGCUCUCGAAACCAAUUCACUUGAGUGAGACAGAGGAGAGUGGAAUUUCGUGUGUAGGGGUGAAAUCCGUAAAUAUACGAAGGAACGCCAAAAGCGAAGGCAGCUCUCUGGGUCCCUACCGACGCUGGGGUGCGAAAGCAUGGGGAGCGAACAGG
Molecule: ribosomal RNA, 251 nt
Filed under: uncultured bacterium
Lineage: Bacteria
Description: partial 16S ribosomal RNA
Rfam family: Bacterial small subunit ribosomal RNA
Source: RNAcentral